This 602-nucleotide ribosomal RNA is filed under the name uncultured bacterium. RNAcentral's name for it is "bacterial SSU rRNA". It matches the Rfam family "Bacterial small subunit ribosomal RNA", at positions 77 to 677 of the family's 1533-position model. The record is from RNAcentral.
AUACAGAUUGAUGGCGACCGGCGCACGGGUGAGUAACGCGUAUGCAACUUACCUAUCAGAGGGGGAUAGCCCGGCGAAAGUCGGAUUAAUACCCCAUAAAACAGGGGUCCCGCAUGGGAAUAUUUGUUAAAGAUUCAUCGCUGAUAGAUAGGCAUGCGUUCCAUUAGGCAGUUGGCGGGGUAACGGCCCACCAAACCGACGAUGGAUAGGGGUUCUGAGAGGAAGGUCCCCCACAUUGGUACUGAGACACGGACCAAACUCCUACGGGAGGCAGCAGUGAGGAAUAUUGGUCAAUGGCCGAGAGGCUGAACCAGCCAAGUCGCGUGAAGGAAGAAGGAUCUAUGGUUUGUAAACUUCUUUUAUAGGGGAAUAAAGUGGAGGACGUGUCCUUUUUUGUAUGUACCCUAUGAAUAAGCAUCGGCUAACUCCGUGCCAGCAGCCGCGGUAAUACGGAGGAUGCGAGCGUUAUCCGGAUUUAUUGGGUUUAAAGGGUGCGUAGGUGGUGAUUUAAGUCAGCGGUGAAAGUUUGUGGCUCAACCAUAAAAUUGCCGUUGAAACUGGGUUACUUGAGUGUGUUUGGGGUAGGCGGAAUGCGUGGUGUA